GGACGGGUGAGUAAUGUCUGGGAAACUGCCUGAUGGAGGGGGGUAACUACUGGAAACGGUAGCUAAUACCGCAUAACGUCGCAAGACCAAAGAGGGGACCUUCGGGCCUCUUGCCAUCGGAUGUGCCCAGAUGGGAUUAGCUAGUAGGUGGGGUAACGGCUCACCUAGGCGACGAUCCCUAGCUGGUCUGAGAGGAUGACCAGCCACACUGGAACUGAGACACGGUCCAG
RNAcentral lists this ribosomal RNA (230 nucleotides) under uncultured bacterium. Its description in RNAcentral is "partial 16S ribosomal RNA". It matches the Rfam family "Bacterial small subunit ribosomal RNA", at positions 100 to 334 of the family's 1533-position model. The record is from RNAcentral.